UAGCGGCGGACGGGUGAGUAACACGUAGGUAACCUACCUAUAAGACUGGGAUAACUUCGGGAAACCGGAGCUAAUACCGGAUAAUAUUUCGAACCGCAUGGUUCGAUAGUGAAAGAUGGCUUUGCUAUCACUUAUAGAUGGACCUGCGCCGUAUUAGCUAGUUGGUAAGGUAACGGCUUACCAAGGCAACGAUACGUAGCCGACCUGAGAGGGUGAUCGGCCACACUGGAACUGAGACACGGUCCAG
RNAcentral lists this ribosomal RNA (247 nucleotides) under uncultured bacterium. RNAcentral describes it as "partial 16S ribosomal RNA". It matches the Rfam family "Bacterial small subunit ribosomal RNA", at positions 93 to 334 of the family's 1533-position model. The record is from RNAcentral.